This 403-nucleotide ribosomal RNA is filed under the name uncultured bacterium. RNAcentral's name for it is "partial 16S ribosomal RNA". It matches the Rfam family "Bacterial small subunit ribosomal RNA", at positions 28 to 526 of the family's 1533-position model. The record is from RNAcentral.
GACGAACGCUGGCGGCGUGCCUAAUACAUGCAAGUCGAACGCAGUGGGGACGGGUGAGUAACACGUGGGUAACCUCCCAUCAGAGGGGAUAACACUUGGAAACAGGUGCUAAACCGAUAUUGCUGGAGGGACCCGCGGUGGAUGAGCUCGUUGGUGGGGUAACGGCGCACCAAGGCCGCGAUGCAUAGCCGGCCGGCGGGGGUGAUCGGCCACACGGCGACGUAGACACGGCCAAGCCGCCUACGGGAGGCAGCAGGAGGGAAUCGUCGGCAAUGGACGAAAGUCGGACCGAGCAAUGCAGCGUGAGUGAAGAAGGUUGUCGGAUCUUAGACCUCUGUUGUUAGAGAAGGGGUAUCUAACCAGAAAGCCACGGCUAACUACGUGCCAGCAGCCGCGGUAAUUC